This is a non-coding RNA of Myotis brandtii (Brandt's bat), 74 nucleotides long. NCBI's taxonomy places the organism in Eukaryota, Metazoa, Chordata, Mammalia, Chiroptera, Vespertilionidae. The record is from Rfam.
GGCCGUUCUUGGUGACGCAGCCCGGAAUUGGGCUCCCUGCUUUCUGAUUCCAGGUGCGUCACCCAAGAACCGCC